UUCGCAAUGCCCGAAAGGGUGACGCAGCAACGCCGCGUGAGGGACGAAGGCCUUCGGGUCGUAAACCUCUUUUGCACGGGAAGAUAGUCUGUCUCGUGAAGAGGGGCUCGACGGUACCGUGCGAAUAAGCCCCGGCUAACUACGUGCCAGCAGCCGCGGUAAUACGUAGGGGGCGAGCGUUGUCCGGAUUUAUUGGGCGUAAAGAGCGCGUAGGUGGCUUGUCAAGUCGUGCGUGAAAUCUCCACCGCUUAACGGGGAGAGGUCGCUGGAAACUACCGAUCUGGAGUUCGGCAGAGGACCAUGGAAUUCCAGGUGUAGCGGUGGAAUGCGUAGAUAUCUGGAAGAACACCGGUAGCGAAGGCGGUGGUCUGGGCCGAAACUGACGCUGAGACGCGAAAGCUAGGGGAGCAAACGGGAUUAGAUACCCCGGUAGUCCUAGCCGUAAACGAUGGGCACUAAGUAGAGGGGUUUU
Molecule: ribosomal RNA, 472 nt
Filed under: uncultured bacterium
Lineage: Bacteria
Description: bacterial SSU rRNA
Rfam family: Bacterial small subunit ribosomal RNA
Source: RNAcentral